RNAcentral lists this ribosomal RNA (439 nucleotides) under uncultured bacterium. RNAcentral's name for it is "partial 16S ribosomal RNA". It matches the Rfam family "Bacterial small subunit ribosomal RNA", at positions 338 to 795 of the family's 1533-position model. The record is from RNAcentral.
CCUACGGUGGCUGCAGUGGGGAAUAUUGCACAAUGGGGGGAACCCUGAUGCAGCGACGCCGCGUGAGUGAAGAAGUAUUUCGGUAUGUAAAGCUCUAUCAGCAGGGAAGAAAAUGACGGUACCUGACUAAGAAGCCCCGGCUAACUACGUGCCAGCAGCCGCGGUAAUACGUAGGGGGCAAGCGUUAUCCGGAUUUACUGGGUGUAAAGGGAGCGCAGACGGCUGUGCAAGUCUGGAGUGAAAGGCGGGGGCCCAACCCCCGGACUGCUCUGGAAACUGUAAAGCUGGAGUGCAGGAGAGGUAAGCGGAAUUCCGAGUGUAGCGGUGAAAGGCGUAGAUAUUAGGAGGAACACCAGUGGCGAGGGCGGCUUACUGGACUGCAACUGACGUUGAGGCUCGAAAGCGUGGGGAGCAAACAUGAUUAGAUCCCCUAGUAGUC